CCUACGGGUGGCAGCAGUGAGGAAUAUUGGUCAAUGGGCGCGAGCCUGAACCAGCCAAGUAGCGUGAAGGAUGACUGCCCUACGGGUUGUAAACUUCUUUUAUAAAGGAAUAAAGUGCGGCACGUGUGCCUUUUUGUGUGUACUUUAUGAAUAAGGAUCGGCUAACUCCGUGCCAGCAGCCGCGGUAAUACGGAGGAUCCGAGCGUUAUCCGGAUUUAUUGGGGUUAAAGGGAGCGUAGAUGGGUUGUUAAGUCAGUUGUGAAAGUUUGCGGCUCAACCGUAAAAUUGCCAUUGAUACUGGCAGCCUUGAGUACAGUUGAGGUAUGCGGAAUUCGUGGUGUAGCGGUGAAAUGCUUAGAUAUCACGAAGAACUCCGAUUGCGAAGGCAGCAUACUAACCUGCCACUGACAUUGAUGCUCGAAAGUGUGGGUAUCAAACAGGAUUAGAUACCCCUGUAGUC
RNAcentral lists this ribosomal RNA (460 nucleotides) under uncultured bacterium. RNAcentral's name for it is "partial 16S ribosomal RNA". It matches the Rfam family "Bacterial small subunit ribosomal RNA", at positions 338 to 795 of the family's 1533-position model. The record is from RNAcentral.